ACGUAGGGGGCGAGCGUUAUCCGGAAUUAUUGGGCGUAAAGAGUGCGUAGGCGGUGCUUUAAGCGAGAGGUGAAAGGCAAUAGCUCACCUAUUGUAAUCCUUGUGAACUGGGGGACUUGAGUGCAGGAGAGGAAAGCGGAAUUCCUAGUGUAGCGGUGAAAUGCGUAGAUAUUAGGAGGAACACCAGUGGCGAAGGCGGCUUUCUGGACUGUAACUGACGCUAAGGCACGAAAGCGUGGGGAGCAAACAG
RNAcentral lists this ribosomal RNA (250 nucleotides) under uncultured prokaryote. Its description in RNAcentral is "partial 16S rRNA". It matches the Rfam family "Bacterial small subunit ribosomal RNA", at positions 525 to 775 of the family's 1533-position model. The record is from RNAcentral.